Molecule: non-coding RNA, 32 nt
Filed under: Prorocentrum micans
Lineage: Eukaryota; Dinophyceae; Prorocentrales; Prorocentraceae
Source: RNAcentral
UCAACCGAUUUGGGCACGGAAGUCGCUCAAGC